This 836-nucleotide ribosomal RNA is filed under the name human gut metagenome. RNAcentral describes it as "bacterial SSU rRNA". It matches the Rfam family "Bacterial small subunit ribosomal RNA", at positions 8 to 839 of the family's 1533-position model. The record is from RNAcentral.
AGAGUUUGAUCCUGGCUCAGGAUGAACGCUAGCGACAGGCUUAACACAUGCAAGUCGAGGGGCAGCGAGGGAGUGGCAACACUUCUGUCGGCGACCGGCGCACGGGUGAGUAACGCGUAUGCAACCUGCCCUUCACAGGGGGAUAACCGGGAGAAAUUCCGACUAAUACCGCAUACGUCCUCCGGGGGCAUCCCCGGGGGAUGAAAGAAUUAUCGGUGAAGGAUGGGCAUGCGUGAUAUUAGGUAGUUGGCGGGGCAACGGCCCACCAAGCCCACGAUAUCUAGGGGUUCUGAGAGGAAGGUCCCCCACAUUGGUACUGAGACACGGACCAAACUCCUACGGGAGGCAGCAGUGAGGAAUAUUGGUCAAUGGACGAGAGUCUGAACCAGCCAAGUCGCGUGAAGGAAGACGGAUCUAUGGUUUGUAAACUUCUUUAGUGCGGGAACAAAGCGGCGUCGUGACGCCGGAUGAGUGUACCGCAAGAAUAAGCAUCGGCUAACUCCGUGCCAGCAGCCGCGGUAAUACGGAGGAUGCGAGCGUUAUCCGGAUUUAUUGGGUUUAAAGGGAGCGCAGGCUGCGAGGCAAGUCAGCGGUCAAAUGUCGGGGCUCAACCCCGGCCUGCCGUUGAAACUGUCCUGCUAGAGUUCGAGUGAGGUAUGCGGAAUGCGUUGUGUAGCGGUGAAAUGCAUAGAUAUGACGCAGAACUCCGAUUGCGAAGGCAGCAUACCAACUCGCGACUGACGCUGAGGCUCGAAAGCGUGGGUAUCGAACAGGAUUAGAUACCCUGGUAGUCCACGCAGUAAACGAUGAAUACUAACUGUUCGGAGGGCGACCUC